RNAcentral lists this non-coding RNA (28 nucleotides) under Homo sapiens (human). The record is from RNAcentral. Lineage: Eukaryota; Metazoa; Chordata; Mammalia; Primates; Hominidae.
UAACAAAUGUGGGAAAGUUUGGAACUUC